Molecule: ribosomal RNA, 447 nt
Filed under: uncultured bacterium
Lineage: Bacteria
Description: bacterial SSU rRNA
Rfam family: Bacterial small subunit ribosomal RNA
Source: RNAcentral
AUCCCAGACUCCUACGGGAGGCAGCAGUGGGGAAUAUUGCACAAUGGGGGGAACCCUGAUGCAGCAACGCCGCGUGGGUGAAGAAGUACUUCGGUAUGUAAAGCCCUGUCAGCAGGGAAGAAAAUGACGGUACCUGACCAAGAAGCCCCGGCUAACUACGUGCCAGCAGCCGCGGUAAUACGUAGGGGGCAAGCGUUAUCCGGAUUUACUGGGUGUAAAGGGAGCGUAGACGGCAAGGCAAGUCUGGAGUGAAAGCCCGUGGCUCAACCACGGGACUGCUUUGGAAACUGUACGGCUGGAGUGCAGGAGAGGUAAGUGGAAUUCCUAGUGUAGCGGUGAAAUGCGUAGAUAUUAGGAGGAACACCGGCGGCGAAGGCGGCCUGCUGGACCGCGACUGACGUUGAGGCUCGAAAGCGUGGGGAGCGAACAGGAUUAGAUACCCCAGUA